GGCCGCGGGAAUUCGAUUAGAGUUUGAUCCUGGCUCAGGACGAACGCUGGCGGCCUGCUUAAGACAUGCAAGUCGUGCGGACCCCUUCGGGGGUCAGCGGCGGACGGGUGAGUAACACGUGGAUAACCUACCUGCAGAUCUGGAACAACAGGCCGAAAGGCUUGCUAAUACCGGAUAAGCUCACGGAGUCGCAUGGCUCUGGGAGAAAAGCCCCGUUUGGGGCGUGUGCAGAGGGGUCCGCGGCCCAUUAGCUAGUUGGUGGGGUAACGGCCCACCAAGGCGACGAUGGGUAGCCGGCCUGAGAGGGCGACCGGCCACACUGGGACUGAGACACGGCCCAGACUCCUACGGGAGGCAGCAGUCGGGAAUUUUGCGCAAUGGCCGAAAGGCUGACGCAGCAAGGCCGCGUGGGUGAAGAAGGCCUUCGGGUUGUAAAGCCCUGUUGGCGGUGAAGAAACCUGCACACAGGAAAUGGUGUGUAGCUGACGGUAACCGCAGAGGAAGCCCCGGCUAACUACGUGCCAGCAGCCGCGGUAAUACGUAGGGGGCGAGCGUUGUCCGGAUUUAUUGGGCGUAAAGGGCGUGUANGCGGUCUUGUUAGUCGGGGGUGAAAACCAGUGCUCACACUGGGCGUGCUCCGAAACUGCGGGACUUGAAUGCUCUANAGGGUACUGGGAAUGCCGGGUGUACAGUGAAAUGCGUAAAGAUCGGCAGGAACCCAGUGGCGAAGGCGACUGGCCGGGGAGUAACUGACCCUGAGGCGCAAAACCGGGGGGAGCAAACGGGAUUAGAUACCCCGGUUGUCCCGCCCGUAAACAA
RNAcentral lists this ribosomal RNA (819 nucleotides) under uncultured bacterium. Its description in RNAcentral is "partial 16S ribosomal RNA". It matches the Rfam family "Bacterial small subunit ribosomal RNA", at positions 1 to 809 of the family's 1533-position model. The record is from RNAcentral.